UACGGAGGGUGCAAACGUUGCUCGGAAUCAUUGGGCGUAAAGCGCACGUAGGCGGCCUGUUAAGUCGGAUGUGAAAGCCCCGGGCUCAACCCGGGAAGUGCAUUCGAAACUGGCGGGCUUGAAUAUGGAAGAGGGUCGCGGAAUUCCCGGUGUAGAGGUGAAAUUCGUAGAUAUCGGGAGGAACACCAGUGGCGAAGGCGGCGACCUGGGCCAAUAUUGACGCUGAGGUGGCGAAAAGCGUGGGGAGCAAACAGGG
RNAcentral lists this ribosomal RNA (256 nucleotides) under uncultured bacterium. RNAcentral describes it as "partial 16S ribosomal RNA". It matches the Rfam family "Bacterial small subunit ribosomal RNA", at positions 524 to 777 of the family's 1533-position model. The record is from RNAcentral.